RNAcentral lists this ribosomal RNA (314 nucleotides) under uncultured bacterium. RNAcentral describes it as "bacterial SSU rRNA". It matches the Rfam family "Bacterial small subunit ribosomal RNA", at positions 29 to 372 of the family's 1533-position model. The record is from RNAcentral.
AAUGAACGCUGGCGGCAGGCCUAAACAUGCAAGUCGAACGCUGUAGCAAUACAGAGUGGCGCACGGGUGAGUAACAUGUGGGAAUAUGCCUAUUGGUACGGAACAACGUUUGGAAACGAACGCUAAUACCGUAUGGUCCCUUCGGGGUAAAGAUUUAUCGCCAAUAGAUUAGCCCGCACUAGAUUAGCUAGUUGGUGAGGUAAGAGCUCACCAAGCCGACGAUCGGUAGCUGGUCUGAGAGGAUGAUCAGCACACUGGGACUGAGAUACGGCCCAGACUCCUACGGGAGGCAGCAGUGGGGAAUAUUGGACAAU